This 711-nucleotide ribosomal RNA is filed under the name uncultured Cyanophyceae cyanobacterium. RNAcentral's name for it is "bacterial SSU rRNA". It matches the Rfam family "Bacterial small subunit ribosomal RNA", at positions 480 to 1191 of the family's 1533-position model. Lineage: Bacteria; Bacillati; Cyanobacteriota; Cyanophyceae. The record is from RNAcentral.
UGAGGAAUCAGCCUCGGCUAACUCUGUGCCAGCAGCCGCGGUAAGACAGAGGAGGCAAGCGUUAUCCGGAAUUAUUGGGCGUAAAGCGUCCGUAGGUGGUCUAGCAAGUCUGGGGUUAAAGCCCGGAGCCCAACUCCGGAUCGGCCUUGGAAACUGCCAGACUCGAGUAAGGUAGGGGUUGCGGGAAUUCCCGGUGUAGCGGUGAAAUGCGUAGAUAUCGGGAAGAACACCAGCGGCGAAAGCGCGCAACUGGGCCAUUACUGACACUGAGGGACGAAAGCUAGGGGAGCGAAUGGGAUUAGAUACCCCAGUAGUCCUAGCCGUAAACGAUGGUGACUAGAUGUGGCUCGUAUUGACCCGAGCCGUGUCGUAGCUAACGCGAUAAGUCACCCGCCUGGGGAGUACGCACGCAAGUGUGAAACUCAAAGGAAUUGACGGGGGCCCGCACAAGCGGUGGAGCAUGUGGAUUAAUUCGAUGCAACGCGAAGAACCUUACCAGGGCUUGACAUCCUGCGAACCCCGCUGAAAGGUGGGGGUGCCUUCGGGAGCGCAGAGACAGGUGGUGCAUGGCUGUCGUCAGCUCGUGUCGUGAGGUGUUGGGUUAAGUCCCGCAACGAGCGCAACCCGCGUCCUUAGUUGCCAGCAUUUAGUUGGGCACUCUGGGGAGACUGCCGGUGACAAGCCGGAGGAAGGUGCGGAUGACGUCAAGUC